GACGAACGCUGGCGGCGUGCUUAACGCAUGCAAGUCGAACGCUGAAGCUCAGCUUUUGUUGGGUGGAUGAGUGGCGAACGGGUGAGUAACACGUGAGUAACCUGCCCCCUUCUUUGGGAUAACGCCCGGAAACGGGUGCUAAUACUGGAUAUUCACUGGUCUUCGCAUGGGGGUUGGUGGAAAGGGUUUUUCUGGUGGGGGAUGGGCUCGCGGCCUAUCAGCUUGUUGGUGGGGUGAUGGCCUACCAAGGCUUUGACGGGUAGCCGGCCUGAGAGGGUGACCGGUCACAUUGGGACUGAGAUACGGCCCAGACUCCUACGGGAGGCAGCAGUGGGGAAUAAUGCACAAUGGGCGCAAGCCUGAUGCAGCGACGCCGCGUGAGGGAUGGAGGCCUUCGAGUUGUGAACCUCUUUCGCUCAUGGUCAAGCCGCAACAAUGGUUGUGGUGAGGGUAGUGGGUAAAGAAGCGCCGGCUAACUACGUG
This 483-nucleotide ribosomal RNA is filed under the name uncultured bacterium. RNAcentral's name for it is "partial 16S ribosomal RNA". It matches the Rfam family "Bacterial small subunit ribosomal RNA", at positions 28 to 507 of the family's 1533-position model. The record is from RNAcentral.